RNAcentral lists this small RNA (77 nucleotides) under Escherichia coli. RNAcentral's name for it is "isrK". It matches the Rfam family "isrK Hfq binding RNA". The record is from RNAcentral. Lineage: Bacteria; Pseudomonadati; Pseudomonadota; Gammaproteobacteria; Enterobacterales; Enterobacteriaceae.
GCAACCGAAAAAUCGGUUGUCGGGAUUGGCGUCCCGGAUAUUCACCGCAACAGACACACGCCGCGAGCGUGUUUUUU